Molecule: long non-coding RNA, 1456 nt
Filed under: Lotus japonicus
Lineage: Eukaryota; Viridiplantae; Streptophyta; Magnoliopsida; Fabales; Fabaceae
Description: long non-coding RNA (LJAP_LNC000716)
Source: RNAcentral
ACUCAAAUUAGGUUUGGUUCUCUUUUUUUUAUUCAAAUCGUUGCCAAACAGUGGAGACUAGCCCCUUACAGAACAUAAAGAAUCAAACAUAAAAGCAAGAUAAUAGAAGGAAGGAAGUUGAUCAUACACCCUCAAACCACCAGGCAACACUAAGCCAUUCUUUAGGCUUGGUUCUCUAGUCCCUAACACGUAUCACUUAGUUCUCACCAGUGGCCAAAAUACAUGUGAAGGCAAUUAACAAAGGAUAAUGGAAAAGACAUGAUUCUUAAAUAGAUAAAGCUUGGGGAAAAGUGAAACUGAAAACCAAAUUUCAAGGAAUCACCCAGCAGUACAAACGGCUAGGUUCCUUCAGUGAUACCAUCAUAAAGAAACACAAUGGUUACAUCAUUUCUUCCAGCUAUCCUACAUAAUUCAGUUCUAGUUUUCCUUUGUCAGACUACAAUUAUCAAAACAAGUUACAAAAUCCUGUUCCUAAACCAUUCCAUCACUGAGUCUUUUGAUUCAGAAACUGAAAAAAACUAUUAUAUGGAGCUAAAGUUGUUGGAAGCCUUGAAAUUGGCGGCAAUUUCACAGCUAACUACAUGAACUAUUGUUCUGUGCUUGUUAAUUCUAGGAUUAUCGGCACUUUGGCACAAACUCAGAAAACUAACCUUAAAUGAUGAUGAAUAAAAAGCUAAAGAUAAUUGAUAUUUUUCAUUAAUGCACAGAAGCGCAAAUGUGCACAAAUAUAUACACGCAUGAUAGCAACAACAUAUCAGAGUUUGUUGCACAUUCAAAUUCAAAUAUCAGGAAGGUUUAAAUACUCUGGAGGUCCUUGAAAUUUUCUACCGUACGAAAAUAAGUCCCUGAAUGUUUUUUUUUUCCGAUUCUGAAUCCCUGAAUUUUGUUUUAAUCAGAAUAAGUCCCUACUCGUUUUUCCAGCCUAUGUGGCUCAAUUUUUGCUGCGUCAUUUAUUCCACGUGGUUUUUUUUUUAAAUACACAUGGAUUAAAAAAAUAAACUUAAACAUGUGUACUAAUUAACCCUAAAUCCCUAAAAAGAUUUUAAUUUCAAAUUUAAAUGUUUGAAAUUAAAAUCUUAUUAACCUAAUUAACCAUAAAUCCCUAAACCUAAUUAACCCUAAAUCCCUAAAAAGAUUUUAAUUUUAAAUCAAAAUGUUUAAUUUUAUUUUUUUAAUCCAUGUGUAUUUAAAAAAAAUAGAAAAGCCACGUGGAAUAAAUGACUCAACAAAAAUUGUGUCACAUAGGCUGGAAACACGAGUAGGGACUUAUUAUGAUUAAAAUUUUUUUUUCAGGGAUUCGGAAUCGGAAAAAAAAAAUUUAGGGACUUAUUUUCGUACUGCAGACAAUUUCAGGGACCUCCAUAGUAUUUAAGCCUAUCAUGAAACUAUAUCCUAUAAAAACUAUCCAAGAAUCUUGCUAUUUGUUACAACAAAUAAGCAACAGAACUUAAUUAAU